Molecule: long non-coding RNA, 1114 nt
Filed under: Homo sapiens (human)
Lineage: Eukaryota; Metazoa; Chordata; Mammalia; Primates; Hominidae
Description: HSALNT0249970
Source: RNAcentral
GUUUCAUUUUAAGUCUGUUUCAGCUGCACAUUUUGAGUUUAUCUGUGCCUCCCUGCUAAAAGUGAUUUAAUCAGGUAUCUCAAAAUGACACCUGCAAUCCCGGCUACUCAGGAGGCUGAGACAUGAGAAUCACUUGAACCCCAGAGGUGGAAGUUGCAGUGAGUCAAGAUCGCGCCACUGCACUCCAGCCUGGGUGACAGAGUGAGACUCUGUAUAUAAAACAGCGAUAUCUCAAAAUGACACCUAAAAAUUUGAUGAAUUUUAAAUAAUUGGAGUCAUAGAGACACAGGGAAAUGAGAAGAGGAAACCUGGAGUGAAAUCCAUCAGACUGUUUUUUGAGGACACUCUUGGCACUGACCUAAGGCAGCUAAGAAAGAGCAUGCAGCUAUCAUUCUUUGGAACACUACAUCUUGGAAACAGGUGCAGAAUUUAGUUUUCCACAGUUUGACAGUCACGCAGAUGGCCUUCUCACCUAAUGAGAAGUUCUUACUAGCUGUUUCCAGAGAUCGAACCUGGUCAUUGUGGAAAAAGCAGGAUACAAUCUCACCUGAGUUCGGUAAAACAGCUUCUGAUUGGGAAAGUUAUUAGUGAAACAGUUAUGUUCAUUUUAUCUACAUUAAGCAGCUUUAGUUAAGAGAAAGAUAACAGAGUGAAGGGUAGAGCCUCAUGUCUUUGAAGCCUUUCAAAGUUCUUGGAUAACUGAGGAAGACUUGACCUUCCUUGUAAGAUUUAAAUGGAGAUGAUCUUUAUUUGGGUUGACCUACUUGUGAUUAUGUAGUCAAGAUGGCAUGCAUUCAGAUAUCUCAGUUCAAGAAACAUAAACAUCUGUAUGUAGGAAGUUAGGUUUUGCAAAUGGUGAUAGAAUGCUACCACAAAGCCUAAUGGAUAACUUAUCCUAAGCUAGGAUUUUAUGGGACAGGAAUAAUGAAGAUACAACUAAGAAAACUCAUGGUUGAGUGGUUUCUUCUCUCUGAACUAUUUUAUUAAUAUAGUACUAUUUUAAAUUAUGAAAUGUAGAGGAAACCAUUAUCCUUAGCUUUUUCCUACCCUCUCCAGUCACCUCCUUCAUUGAGAAGGGCAUAUUAGGCAUCCAUCUGGAUAAAUGACCCCUGAG